This 254-nucleotide ribosomal RNA is filed under the name uncultured bacterium. RNAcentral describes it as "partial 16S ribosomal RNA". It matches the Rfam family "Bacterial small subunit ribosomal RNA", at positions 524 to 776 of the family's 1533-position model. The record is from RNAcentral.
CACGUAGGGGGCAAGCGUUGUCCGGAUUUAUUGGGCGUAAAGAGCUCGUAGGCGGUUCGGUAAGUCGGGUGUGAAACCUCCAGGCUCAACCUGGAGACGCCACCUGAUACUGCUGUGACUCGAGUCCGGUAGGGGAGCGUGGAAUUCCUGGUGUAGCGGUGAAAUGCGCAGAUAUCAGGAGGAACACCGGUGGCGAAGGCGGGUCUCUGGGCCAAUACUGACGCUGAGGAGCGAAAGCGUGGGGAGCGAACAGG